Lycium barbarum (goji berry) is the source of this 2649-nucleotide long non-coding RNA. RefSeq lists it as uncharacterized. Lineage: Eukaryota; Viridiplantae; Streptophyta; Magnoliopsida; Solanales; Solanaceae. The record is from RefSeq and is a predicted model, not a curated record. The transcript is spliced from 2 exons.
ACAUUUACGUAAAUCGUGAUUAGGAAAUUAAUUAAGAUUGUUUGAUAAAAAUAAUGUGGACAUAUGUCAUGGAUAAGCGGAAGCAAGUCCAUUAUGUACGUAUACAUAAGCAAUAUUGUGUCACAAAUAUGAUAAGUAUCAAAAGGGAAGGGGUUGGCCAAUGAGUGCCAUGUGUAAGAUUGGAAAGUGUGUAUAUUAUACUAAUCAAUAUCUAGUAUUCAAUUAGUGAAGUAGUGGCAGCAUUACACGUAUUGAAAUACAUGGGUACUAUGCAUAAAUGUGCCUUCUAUUCUUAUGAUAAGUGUCAUAAUGUAGAUCAAGAUGGGGCCACGUGUAAGGUAGAAAAGGUGUAAUUUAUGUCACUUAUUAUACUUUAUUGAGAAUUCACUUGGAAGGAAAAGUCAUGCAAGAUAUUUUGGUAGAAAGCAACGUGAGCUUCAGUUCUUAGUAGCAAUGUGAGUCCCAAUUUUAUGGAAGCAAAGUAUAAUUUUGCUCAAGAACGACAUGCGAGUUUUGUCCACUAUUUUGAUUUCGUUGUUCCGUUUUGUUGUAUUGUUAAAAUUUGAAAUUUAUUCAAGGUGAAGUAAUGUGGAAGAAGAGUAUUUCUUGGCAUAUGAGGUAAAAAUUCUCCUCUAUUAGAUAUAUUUAAAUUCGUCCAGGCCACAAUUAAAUGAAGAGACGGGAAUUACGAAAGUUAUAUCGGAAAUCGGAUAAAUAGUUGUUGUUAUUAUGUGGAUAGUUAGUGAAUGUUGAAAUAAAGUGGGACAGCAAGGAACUAAUUAUUGUAUUAUCGGACAAGGAUUAAAGAGGUAGUAUUGUAUUGCUGGAUGGUUAAUGAGGUGGCAGCCCCCUACACGUGGAAGCAUAGUAGAAGAAGUGAUUAGUGACUAAGUCACUUGCAUACAGAUCUGCAAGCCUCAUCCAAGGAAAUACCUUUUAGUGGUGGGCUCCACCAUCCAAUAUAUAUUCUAUAAAACUUGCCUUGUUUUUGGAGAGUACAAGACUUCUUGAGAAAUAUAGAUACAUAUAUAGGUUCUACAUCACUAUUUUGGCUAUGUACGUAACAUAUAGCUAUCUCUCACGUUUCAGUUAUAUAUGUAAAGAAGAUACAUAUAUUUCUUCUUCUUACUUUAGUUUAAUGGAAGAUAUAGAAGUGCACAGCAAUGUUUUACAUUUUUGUUUCAAAGAAGAUUAACGACCAACAAUGUUUUAGGCACUUCAUUUUGAGAAAGAAGGGAGCCGCAAGGCACUUAGCUUGUAGUGUAAUUGGAAGUUGGGCAGCAACUAAGUGGCACCUUGCAGUAACGUGUAUUCUAUUUUAAGUGGUUGUUUGGUUCUUGUAUACUCGGGGCAAGGCAGGUUGUUUCAUCUUGGUUUAAGAAUAAGUUUGGAUGAGACGGUGGUUUUAUUGUGAUUAGCGGAUCGAUAAUCGAGGUACACCCAGAUGAGUAGAAGACUUUGCUAGAUGGUGUUCCAGCGGGAUUGGCGAGCUCCAUCUCAGUUCGGAGUAUUGCCGAGUCAAGUACUUUUGUUAUGGUAUUUUGUAUAUGUUAGAGACUUUGCAGACAGUGUCCUGUGGAUAGGGCGUCGAGAAGUGCGAAUUAAUUAUAGAUGUUAAAAGAGUAUGUAUUUUCAGAUGAUUUCAGUUGGUAAAAAAUACGUAAUUGAUUGAAAGUUUUUCAUAAUCUGUAUAAAGGUAAUGACCUCUAUUUGGAAAAGUUUCAUGUUUUUGAAAGUUUUUGAAAUGACAGGUUUUGGUAAAGCGAAUGUUUAAGGGUUCGCUCGACUCUGAAGAGAGUUGGGUGCCCGUCAUGCCCUACCAUUUUUAGGGUGUGACAAUUGGUCGGUCAAAUUUAUACAUUUUUAGAAAUUGAACAGGGAGUUCAACCAUCUUUAGCUGAAGCCGAACUCGCUAUUGAUGACGAGUUUAGAAAAGUUUUUACUCAUUAUUCUAAUUUGGAAGAACGUGCUACACCCGUUGCUCCACGCCCUACUACUUCUCAAAGUAGCAAAAAGGGCUUGUUGGGUUUGUCGCAUUUAAAAGUUUUACAUUGACAGCCAACUUCUUCUUGUAAUGCAAACUCUGAUGAAUAUAACUUUUAUUUGAUGCAGCCAAAUGUGAAUAUCAAGGAACUGGAUGAAUUGGACGUCUUAGCAUGGUGGAAGAAGUACAAGGCAAGUCAUCGAUACUCUCAAGAAUGGCUCGAGAUAUCCUUACGGUUCAAGUAUCAACCAUGGCUCAGGAGAGCGCAUUUAGCCAAGGAAGACAACAAAUUGGAGACCAUAGACAUUCAUUAUCCGGCUUUAGCUUGCAAGUACUAGUGUGCAUUCGCGGUUGGAUUAGAUCGGAGCGACGCAACCAAAACUUAGAAGCGGAGGAAGGCGAAGAGGAAGAAAUUGAAGAUUUGAUAGCAAGUGGACCGGACCAAAUGGAAGACUUUGAAGAUAUCUCCAUGGCCGAAUAUGAUAUGGGGGAAAUUAACGAAAUGAUUCAGAAUUGGUGAAUUUAUUAUUCUACUAUUUCUUUACAACUCAUGUAUUAUUUGCAAGUUAAAAAAAAAAAAACUACAACUUGCAAAUAAAUGUUAUCCAAGAAUGAAUAAAAUAUAUGGCUCAUUGAGCUUUCUUCUAUUUACUUAUGUUCAUAUU